UCAUCUGAAUUCCCCGGCCUCCCCCAUUUCUCAUCCCUCCUCUCUUCCAACCUCCGCAUUUUCCACUUUCUUUCUUCUGGGAUCAGGUUAGGUGGUUUCUGAUCUGGGAGUAGUUGUCGCCGUCUGAGGUUUUGGUGGAAGCAGCGAGAAUGAGUCCCGUAAUUAGCGUAAGCGUAAGCUCUCUCCCACCCAAUCACCCGCGGCGCCACGCCUCCUGCCGCUCCGGCGAUUGAUCGCCGGCGGCGGAGGGGAAGCGGCCGUAUCCGAACCCUGGACUGGGGAUCCGGCCGUGGGCUUUUACUUUAUUGUAUACUAUAAUUUAC
RNAcentral lists this long non-coding RNA (323 nucleotides) under Elaeis guineensis (African oil palm). Its description in RNAcentral is "long non-coding RNA (EGUI_LNC015626)". The record is from RNAcentral. Lineage: Eukaryota; Viridiplantae; Streptophyta; Magnoliopsida; Arecales; Arecaceae.